GGUCACCUUAGUGGCGGACGGGUGAGUAACGCGUGGGGACCUUCCCAGGAGCGGGGAACAACCGAGGGAAACUUCGGCUAAUACCGCAUACGCCCUCCGGGGGAAAGGCUUCGGCCACUCUUGGAUGGCCCCGCGUCUGAUUAGCUAGUUGGCGGGGUAACGGCCCACCAAGGCAACGAUCAGUAGCUGGUCUGAGAGGAUGAUCAGCCACACUGGGACUGAGACACGGCCCAGACUCCUACGGGAGGCAGCAGUGGGGAAUAUUGGACAAUGGGCGAAAGCCUGAUCCAGCGAUGCCGCGUGAGUGAAGAAGGCCCUAGGGUUGUAAAACUCUUUCACUGGUGACGAUGAUGACGGUAGCCAGAGAAGAAGCCCCGGCUAACUCCGUGCCAGCAGCCGCGGUAAUACGGAGGGGGCUAGCGUUGUUCGGAAUUACUGGGCGUAAAGCGCAUGUAGGCGGCGCGUCUAGUCGGGGGUGAAAGGCCUGGGCUCAACCCAGGAACUGCCUUC
This 510-nucleotide ribosomal RNA is filed under the name uncultured bacterium. RNAcentral describes it as "bacterial SSU rRNA". It matches the Rfam family "Bacterial small subunit ribosomal RNA", at positions 85 to 628 of the family's 1533-position model. The record is from RNAcentral.